Molecule: ribosomal RNA, 465 nt
Filed under: Vreelandella stevensii
Lineage: Bacteria; Pseudomonadati; Pseudomonadota; Gammaproteobacteria; Oceanospirillales; Halomonadaceae
Description: partial 16S ribosomal RNA
Rfam family: Bacterial small subunit ribosomal RNA
Source: RNAcentral
CCUACGUGUGGCAGCAGUGGGGAAUAUUGGACAAUGGGCGAAAGCCUGAUCCAGCCAUGCCGCGUGUGUGAAGAAGGCCUUCGGGUUGUAAAGCACUUUCAGUGGGGAAGAAAGCCUUGGGGCUAAUACCCUCGAGGAAGGACAUCACCCACAGAAGAAGCACCGGCUAACUCCGUGCCAGCAGCCGCGGUAAUACGGAGGGUGCGAGCGUUAAUCGGAAUUACUGGGCGUAAAGCGCGCGUAGGCGGUCUGAUAAGCCGGUUGUGAAAGCCCCGGGCUCAACCUGGGAACGGCAUCCGGAACUGUCAGGCUAGAGGGCAGGAGAGGAAGGUAGAAUUCCCGGUGUAGCGGUGAAAUGCGUAGAGAUCGGGAGGAAUACCAGUGGCGAAGGCGGCCUUCUGGACUGACACUGACGCUGAGGUGCGAAAGCGUGGGUAGCAAACAGGAUUAGAUACCCCGGUAGUC